RNAcentral lists this ribosomal RNA (1178 nucleotides) under Cebrenistella robusta. RNAcentral describes it as "partial large subunit ribosomal RNA". The stretch from base 1022 to 1178 matches the Rfam family "Archaeal large subunit ribosomal RNA", at positions 2542 to 2698 of the family's 2987-position model. Lineage: Eukaryota; Metazoa; Arthropoda; Insecta; Hemiptera; Coreidae. The record is from RNAcentral.
AUUAUUAUGUUGCUUUUAUUUUUAUUAAUUAUUUUUUUAUAGAAAUAACUUUUUUAUUAGUAAAUUUUAUUGAAAUUAUUAUUAUUAGCAAUAGUUUAUAUUACUGUGAAGGAAUUUUAUAAAUUAUUUAUAAGCAAAUUUUAUUUAUUGUACCUUUUGUAUCAGGGUUUAUUAAUUAAAAAUUAAUUAUAUUAAUUUUCCCGAAAUUAAAAGAGAUAUAUUUUAAUGAUAGUUUACGUGUUAAAGUAAUUUUUAAUUAAAUUAUAGGAGUUAUAUGCUAUUCAAUUUUAAAUAUCUGGUUAUCUAAUAAAUUAAUUUAAUUAAUAAUGUUAUUUAGUUAAAUUAUAAAUUUAUUUUUUUUAAUAAUAACAUUAAAAGUUUUAGGGGAUAAGCUCUAUUACUGUUUUAUAACUAAUUUUAUUUUUAAAAUUUUGUAGGCUUGACAACAGCCAUCAUUUAUUUCGUUACAGUUAAUUUUUAUUUUGUUUUUAUUUAUUAUUGGUUUAAUUUUUUAUUAGAUAUUUUUAUUUAAUUUUUUAUUAUAGGUUAUAAUGAUAGAAUUAGUAGUUUUGAAUAUUUAAAUACAGGAACUCGGCAAAUUUAAUUCUCGCCUGUUUAACAAAAACAUGUCCUUUAGUAUUAAAUAAAUUAAAGGUCUGACCUGCCCAGUGAUAAACUUAAACGGCCGCAGUAUUCUGACUGUGCGAAGGUAGCAUAAUCAUUUGUCUUUUAAUUUAAGGCUAGUAUGAAUGGUUGGACGAGGAAUUAACUUUCUUUAUUUAAAUUUUAUGAAUUUGAUUUUUGAGUUAAAAAGCUUAAAUAUAUUUGCAAGACGAGAAGACCCUAUAGAAUUUUAUUAUAUAAGGUUUUAUUUUUUAUUUGGUUAUUUAUUUAAUUAAUAUAAUUUUUAUAAUUUUGUUGGGGCGACAAUGAAAAUUAAUUAACUUUCAUUUUUAAUUAUUCAUAAAUUAAUGUAUUUUUUGAUCCUAAAUUUUGGAUUAUAAGAUUAAAUUACCUUAGGGAUAACAGCGUAAUUUUUUUGGAGAGUUCAUAUCGAUGAAAAAGUUUGCGACCUCGAUGUUGGAUUAAAGUAAGUCCUUGGUGCAGUAGCUUAUGUGACUAAGUCUGUUCGACUUUUAAAUCUUUACAUGAUCUGAGUUCAGACCGGCGUGAGAUCG